UCCUACGGGAGGCAGCAGUGAGGAAUAUUGGUCAAUGGACGCAAGUCUGAACCAGCCAUCCCGCGUGCAGGAUGACGGCCCUAUGGGUUGUAAACUGCUUUUAUUUGCCAAGAAUGGUUACUACGUGUAGUGAUUUGACGGUAGCAAAUGAAUAAGGACCGGCUAACUCCGUGCCAGCAGCCGCGGUAAUACGGAGGGUCCAAGCGUUAUCCGGAUUCAUUGGGUUUAAAGGGUGCGCAGGCGGGCUUGUAAGUCAGUGGUGAAAUUCUGCAGCUUAACUGUAGAACUGCCAUUGAUACUGCAAGUCUUGAAUAUGGUUGAGGUAGGCGGAAUGUGUUGUGUAGCGGUGAAAUGCAUAGAUAUGACACAGAACGCCAAUUGCGAAGGCAGCUUACUAAGCCAUGAUUGACGCUGAGGCACGAAAGCGUGGGGAGCGAACAGGAUUAGAUACCCUGGUAGUCCAC
This 464-nucleotide ribosomal RNA is filed under the name uncultured bacterium. RNAcentral describes it as "bacterial SSU rRNA". It matches the Rfam family "Bacterial small subunit ribosomal RNA", at positions 337 to 798 of the family's 1533-position model. The record is from RNAcentral.